Molecule: long non-coding RNA, 3572 nt
Filed under: Gallus gallus (chicken)
Lineage: Eukaryota; Metazoa; Chordata; Aves; Galliformes; Phasianidae
Source: RNAcentral
CUUUCCAGCUGAGAUGGAUUAAGCUGCAGAACACCACACCUCUUUAAGGUUUUCAAUUGAGCAAGAAAAGGGAAUAUCUGGCAAGAUCCAAGUGGAUAAGCAGCCGUGUAGCUUUCAAGCAAGUGCAUUCCACAUAUGUCGCUGCCCCUGCUGCCGCCAGAGUGGGGAGAAGAGGACUCUUGAGCUAUGUCCUGCACACAGCUCUGGGCUGGAGUCAUAGUGAGGCUAGUCCUCAGGUGGGAAAUUUAGCCUGCAAAAGAAACAAAGGAUUUCAAAUUUCCUUUAGAGAAUUCCUACUUUUAAUGAGCAUGGAUAUGAUCCUCAUACAGAGAAAAAAAGUUUUGGCAACAUCAAAAUGAUGAUGUGAGGUUUCAGGAUGAUUCAGAUGAAUUGUUUGACUGAAAAAAAAAAGAAGGAAAAUUAGCAAAAAAAUUGAAAGCACAUGAGAUUCUUGCCUUUUGAGAUGAAAAUGAAAUGAUUCAUAAAAGUAUUUUCAGAGUUUGAAAGAGAAGAGACUCAGUAGUUGAAGUAAAUGAUACAAUUUUCAGAACUGUAAACAAAGAAGUUAUUUACAGAGCUCUGUGAAGAAUGCAUUAACACCUUUCUUUUAAGCUCCACGAUGCCAGUCAUUUGUCAAAAUCUGAUCAACAUGGUAUGGUGAGCACUCCUGACAUGACAUCACCAGGGGCAGUAAAAUCUGAUUAUUUAUAAGGGUGAUGGAGUGCUCUGGCAACCAGCUGCUGCAGCUUCAUGUCAAGUACAAGAGAAAUUGUUUGGAAAAGCUCCGAGAAAUACAUAGAGAAACUUCUGCUAGCAUGAACACCUGACAACAUUUAAAACACUUCCCCAAAAGACAAAUGGUUAAAGGAAAACUUCACUGUAGUCAUGUAAUAACAAAGCGGAGAUCUAAGAAGAAAAUGUCUGAAGUCAUCCAUAUAGGUGGAGAAAAUGAACUGCAUUCAAAUGGAAAUAUUGGGAGCAAGCAAUUUUCUAACAAGCAAGCUGGUUCUAGCUAAUGCAACCGCAGUCAGCUGAGCUCUCCUGAGGACAGAGGGGAAUGAGUCCCCUCAGUGAGGUGGGGCAAAACAAAAAAGUUCAAAUGGAGGUCAUAGCAACUUUUUGAUACCGCAGUGCAGGUUGCAGCCUGUGUUUGAGAAAAGCACAGCUCAGCAUGGGAAAAAGCGAUGCAAAGGCUGCCCUACACUGCUUUGAUCUUCAGCUGACCAAAUGAUCCCAUCUUGCCCUCCAGCAUAUGGAGCUCUCUGGGAUAUGAUCCCGCAGGCUUUCAUAUUGGCUUGGAGGUAAACUGAAAGCAGAUAGCGGUGUUAUCUAAGAGCUUUAAGGACACUUCCUGACUUCCCACAUGGCGUUACAUCCCUCUCUGCUUCAGUGGUGCUCUCCCCCUUGGCUCCAAGGACAUGAUAGCGACAAUGAGGAAAACAAGGACAUAUUAGAUGCCUGAUGAAAAUAUCAACAGUGCAGUAUGGGCGGAGGGGAGAGCAAAAUCUGUAGGAUGUUGUCCCCUUGUAAAGCUGCAGCAAAAACAAGAAGUUCAAAUGAAGGCUACAGAACAAUUUUUUCUCUUCAGGGGGGUAGCUUGGAGGUAGUGUAAGUGGCAAAAUCCUUUCACCUUAAAAUGAGGGUUUGAUUCCAGCCCAACAUGCACCAGGCUGAUGAGCCUGAAGGAGAGGAUGAAAUUUCCUCUAGCUCAUUGAUCCACUGAGAGUUUUACUUGCCAAGGAAUGAGAAACCCUAGUUAUUCUUUCAAAGGGAUCUGUACUAUUAUGCUGUUUUGAUAUGAAACAGGUUGUAAGUAUGCAAGCUAGCCAAACUUUACUACAGAAAUACUCUUGAUUUCUCUCAAAGGAGAUUAUUUUCCUAAAUGAGGCUCCUAUAAUCACUACAGUAUGAGCAGAAACAAUCAAAUUCUGCCCCUUACACAGCACAGAAUGACAUCGCAGUGGUAAAAUACUACAAUGCGAGCAAUUAUUUUUCAUCAUUACAUUGGCUGUAAUACUCUGUACAUUACAAUGAAUUUGCAGAAAAUAUAGUCGAAAAUUUAAGUUCAAAGAUUAACAUCAGAGUACCAUUUGUUUUGUCCCUGCAGUUUUUGAUUAAUGGAGAUUGUUAAUUCAUACUGCCUCUUGGUUGAUAGUGGAGAGGUUCAUUCAUUCCACUGUCUUGAAUUUAAAUUUAGACUGCUUAUAUGUGUUCAUAUUUUCAAUUUAUAUUAUUACAUCCACUUCUGCUCUAUUCUUUGUUCAUUAGGGACCUCUGAACACCAGCUUGAGGAAGUUCUGUUAAAUGAAUCGCAUGCCCUUUGCAAGAGCUCUUUGAAUGACAUGUGUAAUUAUCAACAAUUAACAAGAUGCUAAUUAUACCUUCAAAUUAUAAUCCUACUGAGCAAAAUAAAAAUCCUUUAUGGAAGAAAAAAUUGUUAAAGACACAACACUAUAUUAAACCAAAUGACAAAAAGUUUGGCAACUUCUAAUGGUAUAAAUCAAACAAACUGCUGAACACAUCACACAGCUUGCCAGAAUGGCUCUCUGCCAAUUAGCUCUUCAGUGCAUAUUCAGUAAGGUGGGGGGAGGGUAAUGUAGAAAAAUGAAGGAGGAAGGGAAUUUAACAGACAUGUUACUGCUCAAUCAAUAAAUUAAUUCUGAAAAGCUGUAACAGUUUAAACUUUGCAGAAUAUGUUGUUUUUCACUCACAACAAAAUCACGGAGAAGAAAGGUUUUUCUGAAAGGUUUUAAGCUACAGAAGCUUUAAUAAAUUCUACAUUUGCAAGACAAACCACAAGUAAAAGCCUCCCUGCCAAUGUAAUAUCUUGUAUCCAGUCUCAUAAAAACUAUUGUACAACUCUGAUUUUUUCAGCAAUUUGCACUGACAGUUUUAGACCUGUAUCUACACAUCAAAUGGAUAUCUUUGUGAAAUUAGAGUAACUAGAAUUAAAACUCUGCAUUUAUACACUGUCCUUUCUUACAAGUUAUAUUGACUACUGGUAUAAUUUAGCCUAAAUAUCUCAUUGUUUAGUGCAUCCAGAGCCAAUAAUUCCUCAAGAACGUGCUUCCUUCUGGUAUUAGACUAAAGUGUCACAAUACUAGAAUUUUGUUGGCAAGAAUAAUAAGGAAAAAUGGGUUCAAUCCAUUGAAAACCUGUAAAAAAUCAAAGUUUUCUUUAACAUGAGUGCUUCUACCAGAUAGUAAAAGAACUUCCAGAUACAACAUUUAAUUAAGACAUCUGUUGUUUUCUGCUAAUUGUAUGAUAAACGAUAUGAUGUAAUUCAAGAAAAAAAAGUUUAAAGAGAAUUCUGCUAAGGUGACAUUUACUAUGGUCUACACUGCAAGCAUGACUAUAUUUCUUGUAAUUUUGGGCAGUGAAUGCUAGAAAAAGAGGACAGCCUUCUACUUAUUCUUAGUUCUGCUUGGCAUAGUUUUAUAUAGGUUGCUGAUUUUUUUUUUCAAUAUUAUUUAUUUAUUUUUAUGUUUUUUUCUCUUUUGACAAAUUCCAAAAAGUUUAUAAACCUUAACUGGAGUGGUUUGCAAUCACUCACUGAUGUAUACUAGGUGUUC